RNAcentral lists this ribosomal RNA (468 nucleotides) under uncultured bacterium. Its description in RNAcentral is "partial 16S ribosomal RNA". It matches the Rfam family "Bacterial small subunit ribosomal RNA", at positions 28 to 507 of the family's 1533-position model. The record is from RNAcentral.
GACGAACGCUGGCGGCGUGCUUAACACAUGCAAGUCGAACGGAAAGGCCCUGCUUUUGUGGGGUGCUCGAGUGGCGAACGGGUGAGUAACAAGUGAGUAACCUGCCCUUGCCUCUGGGAUAACUUCAGGAAACUGGGGCUAAUACCUGAUAGGAGCUCCUGCUGCAUGGUGGGGGUUGGAAAGUUUCGGCGGUUGGGGAUGGACUCGCGGCUUAUCAGCUUGUUGGUGGGGUAGUGGCUUACCAAGGCUUUGACGGGUAGCCGGCCUGAGAGGGUGACCGGCCACAGUGGGACUGGGAUACGGCCCAGACUCCUACGGGAGGCAGCAGUGGGGGAUAGUGCACAAUGGGCGGAAGCCGGAUGCAGCAACUCCGCGUGCGGGAUGACGGCCUUCGGGUUGUAAACCGCUUUCGCCUGUGACGAAGAGUGAGUGACGGUAAUGGGUAAAGAAGCACCGGCUAACUACGUG